This 450-nucleotide ribosomal RNA is filed under the name uncultured bacterium. Its description in RNAcentral is "partial 16S ribosomal RNA". It matches the Rfam family "Bacterial small subunit ribosomal RNA", at positions 354 to 796 of the family's 1533-position model. The record is from RNAcentral.
GUGGGGAAUAUUGGACAAUGGGCGAAAGCCUGAUCCAGCCAUGCCGCGUGUGUGAAGAAGGUCUUCGGAUUGUAAAGCACUUUAAGUUGGGAGGAAGGGCAGUAAGUUAAUACCUUGCUGUUUUGACGUUACCGACAGGAUAAGCACCGGCUAACUUCGUGCCAGCAGCCGCGGUAAUACGAAGGGUGCAAGCGUUAAUCGGAAUUACUGGGCGUAAAGCGCGCGUAGGUGGUUCAGUAAGUUGGAAGUGAAAUCCCCGGGCUCAACCUGGGAACUGCUGUCAAAACUGCUGAGCUAGAGUACGGUAGAGGGUGGUGGAAUUUCCUGUGUAGCGGUGAAAUGCGUAGAUAUAGGAAGGAACACCAGUGGCGAAGGCGACCACCUGGACUGAUACUGACACUGAGGUGCGAAAGCGUGGGGAGCAAACAGGAUUAGAUACCCGUGUAGUCC